This 206-nucleotide ribosomal RNA is filed under the name Pseudomonas aeruginosa. RNAcentral describes it as "partial 23S ribosomal RNA". It matches the Rfam family "Bacterial large subunit ribosomal RNA", at positions 2725 to 2925 of the family's 2925-position model. Lineage: Bacteria; Pseudomonadati; Pseudomonadota; Gammaproteobacteria; Pseudomonadales; Pseudomonadaceae. RNAcentral also lists the same sequence under 1 other name. The record is from RNAcentral.
CAUGCCAAUGGCACUGCCCGGUAGCUAAAUGCGGAAGAGAUAAGUGCUGAAAGCAUCUAAGCACGAAACUUGCCCCGAGAUGAGUUCUCCCUGAGACUUUAAGUCUCCUGAAGGAACGUUAAAGACGAUGACGUUGAUAGGCCGGGUGUGUAAGCGCAGCGAUGCGUUGAGCUAACCGGUACUAAUGAACCGUGAGGCUUAACCUU